GUGUUUUGGCGACUCUUCUCAGUGGAAAUCGGAGAAAGAACUCAGGAAGAAUGCUUAAAAUCGAAGACGAUCUUUAGCGAUUUCGAUGGUGAAAUUCAAAGAAGAAAGAAAAGGCCUUAAAUAGAUGAUUCCUAGGGUUUGUGGCUGGUUUUUAGAUCGCUCUAGAACUCCCAGAGUCCGGCGAUAAUGGAGGAGGAAGAAGACUCCAGUCGGGAGUCUUCUCCUUCUCCCAAUCGCGAGCAACAAGGGCUCGCUUGAUCCUCUCGGGCCGGCCCAUUAGUGAAAAAAAAUUGGCCAUUGUUUAGUCCCACAUCAGUUAUUCACUGGGUAGAUUUUGGGUACCUAUACAAGAUCAAGGAAUCCAAGCAAUAGCUUCUGACUAGCAAUUUUGGAUGAGAUCCUAAAUUAUUACAAAUGGUAUUAGAGCGGACCUGGUCUAAAAUCUAUGUGGACUAGAGGACACUAUAGCACAGAUUCAUUGGGGCUGACCAUAGGCCGAUCGUGGUGCUUGUGAUUAGAUUUGAAUGGANN
This 531-nucleotide long non-coding RNA is filed under the name Phoenix dactylifera (date palm). RNAcentral describes it as "long non-coding RNA (PDAC_LNC001022)". The record is from RNAcentral. Lineage: Eukaryota; Viridiplantae; Streptophyta; Magnoliopsida; Arecales; Arecaceae.